CCUACGGGGGACAGCAGUGAGGAAUAUUGGUCAAUGGACGAGAGUCUGAACCAGCCAAGUAGCGUGAAGGAUGACUGCCCUAUGGGUUGUAAACUUCUUUUAUAAAGGAAUAAAACGAGGCACGUGUGCCUUUUUGCAUGUACUUUAUGAAUAAGGAUCGGCUAACUCCGUGCCAGCAGCCGCGGUAAUACGGAGGUUCCGAGCGUUAUCCGGAUUUAGUGGGUUUAAAGGGAGCGUAGAUGGGUUGUUAAGUCAGUUGUGAAAGUUUGCGGCUCAACCGUAAAAUUGCAAUUGAUACUGGCAGUCUUGAGUACAGUUGAGGUAGGCGGAAUUCGUGGUGUAGCGGUGAAAUGCUUAGAUAUCACGAAGAACCUCGAUUGCGAAGGCAGCUUACUAAACUGUGACUGACAUUGAUGCUCGAAAGUGUGGGUAUCAAACAGGAUUAGAUACCCGAGUAGUC
RNAcentral lists this ribosomal RNA (460 nucleotides) under uncultured bacterium. RNAcentral describes it as "partial 16S ribosomal RNA". It matches the Rfam family "Bacterial small subunit ribosomal RNA", at positions 338 to 795 of the family's 1533-position model. The record is from RNAcentral.